GAUGAACGCUGGCGGCGUGCCUAAUACAUGCAAGUCGAGCGAACAGACGAGGAGGUUGCUCCUCUGACGUUAGCGGCGGACGGGUGAGUAACACGUGGAUAACCUACCUAUAAGACUGGGAUAACUUCGGGAAACCGGAGCUAAUACCGGAUAAUAUAUUGAACCGCAUGGUUCAAUAGUGAAAGACGGGUUUGCUGUCACUUAUAGAUGGAUCCGCGCCGCAUUAGCUAGUUGGUAAGGUAAGGGCUUACCAAGGCAACGAUGCGUAGCCGACCUGAGAGGGUGAUCGGCCACACUGGAACUGAGACACGGUCCCGACUCCUACGGGAGGCAGCAGUAGGGACUCUUCCGCAAUGGGCGAAAGCUUGACGGAGCAACGCCGCGUGAGUGAUGAAGGUCUUCGGAUCGUAAAACUCUGUUAUUAGGGAAGAACAAAUGUGUAAGUAACUAUGCACGUCUUGACGGUACCUAAUCAGAAAGCCACGGCUAACUACGUG
RNAcentral lists this ribosomal RNA (497 nucleotides) under uncultured bacterium. Its description in RNAcentral is "partial 16S ribosomal RNA". It matches the Rfam family "Bacterial small subunit ribosomal RNA", at positions 28 to 507 of the family's 1533-position model. The record is from RNAcentral.